UACGGAGGGGGCAAGCGUUAUUCGGAAUCAUUGGGCGUAAAGGGCGCGUAGGCGGCUUGGCAAGUCGAAGGUGAAAUCCCUCGGCCUAACCGAGGAACUGCCUUUGAAACUGCUUGGCUUGAGGCCGGGAGAGGGUAGCGGAAUUCCCAGUGUAGCGGUGAAAUGCGUAGAUAUCCGGAGGAACACCGGUGGCGAAGGCGGCUUCCUGGACCGACACUGACGCUGAGGCGCGAAAGCUAGGGGAGCAAACGGG
RNAcentral lists this ribosomal RNA (253 nucleotides) under uncultured bacterium. RNAcentral describes it as "partial 16S ribosomal RNA". It matches the Rfam family "Bacterial small subunit ribosomal RNA", at positions 524 to 776 of the family's 1533-position model. The record is from RNAcentral.